GACGAACGCUGGCGGCGUGCUUAACACAUGCAAGUCGAACGGAAAGGCCCUGCUUUUGUGGGGUGCUCGAGUGGCGAACGGGUGAGUAACACGUGAGUAACCUGCCCUUGACUUUGGGAUAACUUCAGGAAACUGGGGCUAAUACCGGAUAGGAGCUCCUGCUGCAUGGUGGGGGUUGGAAAGUUUCGGCGGUUGGGGAUGGACUCGCGGCUUAUCAGCUUGUUGGUGGGGUAGUGGCUUACCAAGGCUUUGACGGGUAGCCGGCCUGAGAAGGUGACCGGCCACAUUGGGACUGAGAUACGGCCCAGACUCCUACGGGAGGCAGCAGUGGGGAAUAUUGCACAAUGGGCGGAAGCCUGAUGCAGCAACGCCGCGUGCGGGAUGAAGGCCUUCGGGUUGUAAACCGCUUUCGCCUGUGACGAAGCGUGAGUGACGGUAAUGGGUAAAGAAGCACCGGCUAACUACGUG
RNAcentral lists this ribosomal RNA (468 nucleotides) under uncultured bacterium. RNAcentral's name for it is "partial 16S ribosomal RNA". It matches the Rfam family "Bacterial small subunit ribosomal RNA", at positions 28 to 507 of the family's 1533-position model. The record is from RNAcentral.